GUAGGGAAUAUUGGGCAAUGGGUGCAAGCCUGACCCAGCCAUCCCGCGUGCCGGAUGAAGGCCCUCUGGGUCGUAAACGGCUUUUGACGGUGAAGAACCGAAAGGGUGCGCCCUUUUUUGACGGUAGCCGUUGAAUAAGCACCGGCUAACUCCGUGCCAGCAGCCGCGGUAAUACGGAGGGUGCGAGCGUUGUCCGGAUUUAUUGGGUUUAAAGGGUGCGUAGGCUGGAGGGACAGUCAGCGGUGAAAAGCAGUUGCUCAACAAUUGUCUUGCCGCAGAUACUACCUUUCUUGGAUUGGGAGGAGGUUACCGGAACGGAUGGUGUAGCGGUGAAAUGCAUAGAUAUCAUCCAGAACGCCAAUUGCGAAGGCAGGUAACUGUACCUAUAUCGACGCUGAUGCACGAAAGCAUGGGUAGCGAACAGGAUUAGAAACCCGGGUAGUCC
Molecule: ribosomal RNA, 445 nt
Filed under: uncultured bacterium
Lineage: Bacteria
Description: partial 16S ribosomal RNA
Rfam family: Bacterial small subunit ribosomal RNA
Source: RNAcentral